GCGAACCGGGGGAACUGAAACAUCUAAGUACCCCGAGGAAAAGAAAUCAACCGAGAUUCCCCCAGUAGCGGCGAGCGAACGGGGAGGAGCCCAGAGCCUGAAUCAGCAUGUGUGUUAGUGGAAGCGUCUGGAAAGGCGCGCGAUACAGGGUGACAGCCCCGUACACAAAAGCGCAUGUGCUGUGAGCUCGAUGAGUAGGGCGGGACACGUGGUAUCCUGUCUGAAUAUGGGGGGACCAUCCUCCAAGGCUAAAUACUCCUGACUGACCGAUAGUGAACCAGUACCGUGAGGGAAAGGCGAAAAGAACCCCGGCGAGGGGAGUGAAAAAGAACCUGAAACCGUGUACGUACAAGCAGUGGGAGCACCCUUUGGGGUGUGACUGCGUACCUUUUGUAUAAUGGGUCAGCGACUUAUAUUCUGUAGCAAGGUUAACCGUAUAGGGGAGCCGGAGGGAAACCGAGUCUUAACCGGGCGUUAAGUUGCAGGGUAUAGACCCGAAACCCGGUGAUCUAGCCAUGGGCAGGUUGAAGGUUGGGUAACACUAACUGGAGGACCGAACCGACUAAUGUUGAAAAAUUAGCGGAUGACCUGUGGCUGGGGGUGAAAGGCCAAUCAAACCGGGAGAUAGCUGGUUCUCCCCGAAAGCUAUUUAGGUAGCGCCUCGUGAAUUCAUCUCCGGGGGUAGAGCACUGUUUCGGCUAGGGGGCCAUCCCGGCUUACCAACCCGAUGCAAACUGCGAAUACCGGAGAAUGUUAUCACGGGAGACACACGGCGGGUGCUAACGUCCGUCGUGAAGAGGGAAACAACCCAGACCGCCAGCUAAGGUCCCAAAGUCAUGGUUAAGUGGGAAACGAUGUGGGAAGGCCCAGACAGCCAGGAUGUUGGCUUAGAAGCAGCCAUCAUUUAAAGAAAGCGUAAUAGCUCACUGGUCGAGUCGGCCUGCGCGGAAGAUGUAACGGGGCUAAACCAUG
This 972-nucleotide ribosomal RNA is filed under the name Salmonella enterica subsp. enterica serovar Montevideo. RNAcentral describes it as "partial 23S ribosomal RNA". It matches the Rfam family "Bacterial large subunit ribosomal RNA", at positions 179 to 1191 of the family's 2925-position model. The record is from RNAcentral. Lineage: Bacteria; Pseudomonadati; Pseudomonadota; Gammaproteobacteria; Enterobacterales; Enterobacteriaceae.